This is an RNA transcript of Eucalyptus grandis, 630 nucleotides long. It is a transcript of the gene named endochitinase EP3, with no coding region annotated. Lineage: Eukaryota; Viridiplantae; Streptophyta; Magnoliopsida; Myrtales; Myrtaceae. The record is from RefSeq and is a predicted model, not a curated record. The transcript is spliced from 2 exons.
AUGGCCAAAUCGAACAACAUAGCAAGAGCUCUUCUCAACAUUCUGGUCGUGUCUGGCCUCAUUGCCGGAUUCUCGCCGGCGCGUGUCACGCAUGAGACCGGACAUUUUUGCUACAUUGAAGAGAUCGAUGGUCCCUCGAAAAAUUACUGCCAAGAAUCGAACACCCAGUAUCCAUGCAACCCCAACAAAGGCUACUACGGCCGCGGCCCCCUCCAGAUAUCCUGGAACUACAACUACGGACCCGCAGGGGAAAGCAUCGGGUUCGAUGGCCUCAACUCUCCCGAAACCGUCGCCAACAACGCCGUCGUGUCUUUUAAGACCGCCUUCUGGUUUUGGAUGAACAACGUCCACUCCGUUAUUACUUCCGGUCAAGGCUUCGCACGACGAUUCGAGCCAUUAACGGAAUGGAGUGCGGCAGCGGAAACCCGCCGCAGUUCAAGCUCGGGUUCAAUAUUACACUGAUUACUGCAACCGAUUUGGUGUCUCUCCCGGAGAUAACCUGACUUGUUAGAUGGCAUAGAAAACCAGCUUAUUUUUAUGGCAUUGUAGCCAACCUCGGUUAGCACCAUGACCAUAUUCGAUUUACAUUAAUGUACGCAACUUAAUAAUGGAUCCAAAAAAUAAAAGGAA